RNAcentral lists this ribosomal RNA (253 nucleotides) under uncultured bacterium. RNAcentral describes it as "partial 16S ribosomal RNA". It matches the Rfam family "Bacterial small subunit ribosomal RNA", at positions 524 to 776 of the family's 1533-position model. The record is from RNAcentral.
UACGUAGGGUGCGAGCGUUAAUCGGAAUUACUGGGCGUAAAGCGUGCGCAGGCGGUCCGCUAAGACAGGUGUGAAAUCCCUGGGCUCAACCUAGGAAUUGCGCUUGUGACUGGCGGGCUAGAGUACGGUAGAGGGGGGUGGAAUUCCUGGUGUAGCAGUGAAAUGCGUAGAGAUCAGGAGGAACACCGAUGGCGAAGGCAGCCCCCUGGGCCUGUACUGACGCUCAGGCACGAAAGCGUGGGGAGCAAACAGG